CCUACGGGAGGCUGCAGUGGGGAAUAUUGCACAAUGGGGGAAACCCUGAUGCAGCGACGCCGCGUGAAGGAAGAAGUAGUUCGGGAUGUAAACUUCGAUCAGCAGGGAAGAAAAUGACGGUACCUGACGAAGAAGCCCCGGCUAACGACGUGCAAGCAGCCGCGGUAAUACGUAGGGGGCAAGCGUUAUCCGGAUUUACUGGGUGUAAAGGGAGCGUAGGCGGUUUAGCAAGUCAGAAGUGAAAGCCCGGGGCUCAACUCCGGGACGGCUUGUGAAACUGUUGAACUAGAUUGCAGGAGAGGUACGUGGACUUCCUCGUGUCGCGGUGAUCUGCUUAGAUCUUAGGCGGCACCCCAGUGGCGAAGGCGGCUUACUGGACUGUACAUGCCGCUGAGGCUC
Molecule: ribosomal RNA, 399 nt
Filed under: uncultured bacterium
Lineage: Bacteria
Description: partial 16S ribosomal RNA
Rfam family: Bacterial small subunit ribosomal RNA
Source: RNAcentral